GACGUAGGAGGCGAGCGUUGUCCGGAUUCAUUGGGCGUAAAGAGCGCGCAGGCGGCUUGGUAAGUCGGAUGUGAAAUCCCGAGGCUCAACCUCGGGUCUGCAUCCGAUACUGCCCGGCUAGAGGUAGGUAGGGGAGAUCGGAAUUCCUGGUGUAGCGGUGAAAUGCGCAGAUAUCAUGAGGAACACCGGUGGCGAAGGCGGAUCUCUGGGCCUUACCUGACGCUCAGGCGCGAAAGCUAGGGGAGCGAACUGG
RNAcentral lists this ribosomal RNA (253 nucleotides) under uncultured bacterium. Its description in RNAcentral is "partial 16S ribosomal RNA". It matches the Rfam family "Bacterial small subunit ribosomal RNA", at positions 524 to 776 of the family's 1533-position model. The record is from RNAcentral.